RNAcentral lists this ribosomal RNA (1467 nucleotides) under uncultured bacterium. RNAcentral's name for it is "bacterial SSU rRNA". It matches the Rfam family "Bacterial small subunit ribosomal RNA". The record is from RNAcentral.
AUUGAACGCUGGCGGCAGGCCUAACACAUGCAAGUCGAACGGUAACAGGAAGCAGCUUGCUGCUUCGCUGACGAGUGGCGGACGGGUGAGUAAUGUCUGGGAAGCUGCCUGAUGGAGGGGGAUAACUACUGGAAACGGUAGCUAAUACCGCAUAAUGUCGCAAGACCAAAGAGGGGGACCUUCGGGCCUCUUGCCAUCGGAUGUGCCCAGAUGGGAUUAGCUUGUUGGUGGGGUAACGGCUCACCAAGGCGACGAUCCCUAGCUGGUCUGAGAGGAUGACCAGCCACACUGGAACUGAGACACGGUCCAGACUCCUACGGGAGGCAGCAGUGGGGAAUAUUGCACAAUGGGCGCAAGCCUGAUGCAGCCAUGCCGCGUGUAUGAAGAAGGCCUUCGGGUUGUAAAGUACUUUCAGCGGGGAGGAAGGGAGUAAAGUUAAUACCUUUGCUCAUUGACGUUACCCGCAGAAGAAGCACCGGCUAACUCCGUGCCAGCAGCCGCGGUAAUACGGAGGGUGCAAGCGUUAAUCGGAAUUACUGGGCGUAAAGCGCACGCAGGCGGUUUGUUAAGUCAGAUGUGAAAUCCCCGGGCUCAACCUGGGAACUGCAUCUGAUACUGGCAAGCUUGAGUCUCGUAGAGGGGGGUAGAAUUCCAGGUGUAGCGGUGAAAUGCGUAGAGAUCUGGAGGAAUACCGGUGGCGAAGGCGGCCCCCUGGACGAAGACUGACGCUCAGGUGCGAAAGCGUGGGGAGCAAACAGGAUUAGAUACCCUGGUAGUCCACGCCGUAAACGAUGUCGACUUGGAGGUUGUGCCCUUGAGGCGUGGCUUCCGGAGCUAACGCGUUAAGUCGACCGCCUGGGGAGUACGGCCGCAAGGUUAAAACUCAAAUGAAUUGACGGGGGCCCGCACAAGCGGUGGAGCAUGUGGUUUAAUUCGAUGCAACGCGAAGAACCUUACCUGGUCUUGACAUCCACGGAAGUUUUCAGAGAUGAGAAUGUGCCUUCGGGAACCGUGAGACAGGUGCUGCAUGGCUGUCGUCAGCUCGUGUUGUGAAAUGUUGGGUUAAGUCCCGCAACGAGCGCAACCCUUAUCCUUUGUUGCCAGCGGUCCGGCCGGGAACUCAAAGGAGACUGCCAGUGAUAAACUGGAGGAAGGUGGGGAUGACGUCAAGUCAUCAUGGCCCUUACGACCAGGGCUACACACGUGCUACAAUGGCGCAUACAAAGAGAAGCGACCUCGCGAGAGCAAGCGGACCUCAUAAAGUGCGUCGUAGUCCGGAUUGGAGUCUGCAACUCGACUCCAUGAAGUCGGAAUCGCUAGUAAUCGUGGAUCAGAAUGCCACGGUGAAUACGUUCCCGGGCCUUGUACACACCGCCCGUCACACCAUGGGAGUGGGUUGCAAAAGAAGUAGGUAGCUUAACCUUCGGGAGGACGCUUACCACUUUGUGAUUCAUGACUGGGGUGAAG